AGCAGUAGCCGCGGUAAUACAGAGGGUGCAAGCGUUAAUCGGAUUUACUGGGCGUAAAGGGCGCGUAGGUGGUUAUUUAAGUGAGAUGUGAAAGCCCCGGGCUUAACCUGGGAACUGCAUCUUAUACUGGGUAACUGGAGUGCAGUAGAGGGUAGUGGAAUUUCCGGUGUAGCGGUGAAAUGCGUAGAUAUCGGAAGGAACACCAGUGGCGAAGGCGGCUACCUGGACUGAGACUGACACUGAGGCGCGAGAGCGUGGGGAGCAAACAGGAUUAGAUACCCGCGUAGUCCCUGUCUCUUAUAC
This 303-nucleotide ribosomal RNA is filed under the name uncultured bacterium. Its description in RNAcentral is "partial 16S ribosomal RNA". It matches the Rfam family "Bacterial small subunit ribosomal RNA", at positions 507 to 807 of the family's 1533-position model. The record is from RNAcentral.